RNAcentral lists this ribosomal RNA (484 nucleotides) under uncultured bacterium. RNAcentral describes it as "partial 16S ribosomal RNA". It matches the Rfam family "Bacterial small subunit ribosomal RNA", at positions 29 to 507 of the family's 1533-position model. The record is from RNAcentral.
AUUGAACGCUGGCGGCAGGCCUAACACAUGCAAGUCGAGCGGAUGAAGGGAGCUUGCUCCUGGAUUCAGCGGCGGACGGGUGAGUAAUGCCUAGGAAUCUGCCUGGUAGUGGGGGAUAACGUCCGGAAACGGGCGCUAAUACCGCAUACGUCCUGAGGGAGAAAGUGGGGGAUCUUCGGACCUCACGCUAUCAGAUGAGCCUAGGUCGGAUUAGCUAGUUGGUGGGGUAAAGGCCUACCAAGGCGACGAUCCGUAACUGGUCUGAGAGGAUGAUCAGUCAACACUGAAACUGAAACAGGGCCCAGACUCCACGGGGAGGCAGCGGGGGGAAAUAUUGGCCAAGGGGCGAAGGCUUGAUCAAGCAAGGCGGGGGUGUGGAAGAAGGCCUUCGGAUGGUAAACCACUUUAGGUGGGGAGAAAGGGAAGUAAGUUAGAACCUUGCUGUUUGACCGUUACCAAAAGAAUAGCACCGGCUAACUUCGUG